RNAcentral lists this ribosomal RNA (253 nucleotides) under uncultured bacterium. RNAcentral's name for it is "partial 16S ribosomal RNA". It matches the Rfam family "Bacterial small subunit ribosomal RNA", at positions 524 to 776 of the family's 1533-position model. The record is from RNAcentral.
UACGUAGGGGGCAAGCGUUGUCCGGAAUCAUUGGGCGUAAAGCGCGUGUAGGCGGCUCGAUAAGUCUGCUGUGAAAGUUCAGGGCUCAACCCUGAAAUGCCGGUGGAAACUGUCGAGCUAGAGUACGGAAGAGGUGGGUGGAAUUUCUGGUGUAGCGGUGAAAUGCGCAGAUAUCAGGAGGAACACCAAUGGCGAAGGCAGCUCACUGGGACGUUACUGACGCUGAGACGCGAAAGCGUGGGGAGCAAACAGG